Molecule: unclassified non-coding RNA, 240 nt
Filed under: Hevea brasiliensis (rubber tree)
Lineage: Eukaryota; Viridiplantae; Streptophyta; Magnoliopsida; Malpighiales; Euphorbiaceae
Source: RNAcentral
CUAACAGCAUAUUCAAUGAAACCCAAACCAAGAGUCGUAUAAAUUGCUCACUCUCUUCAACUGCAACGUCACACUCCUUUCUUCUUGCGUCUUUUCUUGGGUUUUUGAGAUUCAUUAUCAAGAAAAAGAAAAGAUGGUCAUGAGCAAUCUACUUCUAUCUGCUCUCAAAACCCAGUUCAGUUCAUACACCAAAUGUGUUACUGCCUCUGGCAGUUCACAGAAACAUUUACUUCAGGCUCC